GACACAAAAGCAAACAUUUUUAAGAGACUUUAUAGUUUUAUAAAAAAGACACAGUACCUAAGCAAAAAGUCACAGCUUGCAAACCCCACUUAAGGCCAUCUACCAACCCUUUCCCCUAGAACACAGAGCCCUGAGCAGGAUUCACCAAGCCUAUAAAAGCCCAGCACUGAGGAACGCCUCAGGCAACUUUAGGAUCUUGAUCUUGGAUUUGAUAAAUCUAGUCUUCCAUGUUUACUCACUUCAGGUUAAAAAAGCAGCCAAACCUUACCUAAUCCUCUCCACUUUAACAACAGUAGACGUAAAUAAACAUUUAUUGUUUUUUUCAAAAUAAACAAGCCAAUUAGAGGUUAUUGGAAAACACAUAUUCAAUGCAGGUGGCAAAAUCAGUUACAGAGGGAAUCUGGGCAUGUUUCCCAGGGUCUGUGGGUUCUGAACUCGCAAUGAGAUCUCAACCUCUGUCACUCUGUGGAUCUCUGAAUCUCCCCCCUGUGAUGAAAUUUGAGGAAAUUAUCCAGGUGUAAGAAAGAAAUCAAUGAAGAGGAAGCAGAAAUGGAGCAAACUUGUUAUGUCUCCUGGUUGACAAUUAACUUUUGCUAAUAAAAAAGUAAAAACCCAUCUUCAGACUCUUUAACAAUCAAGUUUAGUGUUUAUCCAAGCAGUUAAAACUCAAGGUCUACUGAAACAGGCAGCAUAGACAGGCUAAUUAAUUUCUUAUCCUAGAAAUAAUCUUCAGACAGGGGCAGAAAUGGGCAGAAUGUGAACAGAGACAUGAACAGAUAAGGGGAGGGGAAAAAAACCCUAGAAAUAAAUUCAUUAAAAAUAGGAAUUGGCGUUCCUGCUGUGGCUCAGUGGUUAAUGAGCCCGACUAGUAUCCAUGAGGUUGUGGGUUUGAUCCCUGGCCUUGCUCAGUGGGUUAAGGAUCCAGUGCUGCCGUGAGUUGUGGUGUAGGUCGCAGACGUGGCUUGGAGCCCAAGUUGCUGUUGCAGCAGCUGUGGUUGUAGGCCAGUAGCUACAGCUCUGAUUCGACCCCUAGCCUGAAAACUUCCAUAUGCUGCAGGGGCAGCCCUAAAAAAAAAAAAAAAAAAAAAAAAAAGAAAGAAAAAAGACGUAGGAAUUUUUUUUUCCGUUUCCACUGAGCCACAAUGGGAACUUUAGACACAGGAAUUGCUAAAUACCACAUUCAUAAAGACUUUACCAGCCAAGGGUGAUUUAGCUCCACACCGUGGCCCAGCUUUGGGAAGCCAGAUGGAUCUUCCAGCCUCACAAAUUCUGUCCAGUUUCAGUACUGUAUUGAACUAUUAGUCCAGAGAAUUCUCUGGAGAUCAGGCUGGUUCUGGUAUCUGCUUCCUGACAAGGUCAGGUCUUCUUAGGGUAGAGAGAUGCUCACCAGUCUGAGACCUUCAGAGCCAUGCUGAGCUCACACUAAAAUGGCCUCGGAUCUGCUAGUGACCAAGUGAGCUCUUCUUCUGAAACCCCAAACUAGUAAUAAAGUAUAUUUCAGAUGACUUGGGCUUGGAUAAGAGUUCCCAGAUUCUUCACUCAAAAACCCAUACAAGUGAGUGGGUAAUUAGGGGAUCGAUGAAAUCAAGGCUCAUCAAGGAUUGACCUCUUCUCAAUUGGAGAAGAUUUUGCAAUCAGUUAAAAAUACUUGGGGGCAUCUCCUAUGAAGCACAGACAGUGCUAGAUUCUACAAGUAUGACAGACCCAUGUAAGACAGCAUUUUUUUUUUUUAAUCCCCAGGACACUGAGAUAAGAAAGAGAAGCUGUAAAAACAUAACAAUAUAUAUAUUAAAAAGUUCCAUAUAAUUCUGAAAUUGGACAUAAGAUAAAGAGCUCUGUACUCAUAUCAUUAUCUCUACCUGGUUUUGUCAUCUUUUCAAUCUUCAAGCCCAGAAAUCCUACCACACCUGCUCAAGGCCAUUCCUGGCCUCCUCCAAUUCCCACUUCCACCUCUUUCUCUAUUUCCCCCCUUCUUUGAAGGCCCAAGACACAUUCUAGCUUUCUUGCAGCAUUUACCACACUUAGGCUCCUGUUAGUGACUUCUGUGUACAUAUUGCCUCUGACAGACUAAGAUAAAACACAGACUUCAACUCUGCAUAUCUUGGCAGUAACAUUGACACUUGUUCAAUUUAAAUUGAUUGCUAAAUGAAUAGAUUUUCCAAACAAUGGACAAUGUUUUUCAUCUUACAUGCCAGUUCCCUAUGAUUAACAGUGGUUGCCUGGAGGAUAGUUCUGGGGAUUCAGAGGCUGUAACAAUGCUCUGAGGUAAAGAGUACUUUAAUCAAUUAGUGGUGUCUUCCACAGGACUGGACUGGGAGUAGUGGUUCAAAUGGACUGUAAUUUGAGAAUAUAAAUUAAGGGUUAUAAAAAGCACAGAGGAGGGAAAUCAUUUCUGAUUGGCAGUCAGAGAAGUGUAUAUGGUAAGAAUGAAAAUUAGAUCCAUCAUCAAUGAUGAGUAGGAUAACAGUAGGUGAAACACAUGAAUAAAAACAUAGGGUGGGAGAAUACAACACAUCCUAGGAAAGCAACUCUUAGACAAGCUCAACUAGAGUAAGUUCAAUGGAAGAUUUGUGUGGGAGAUAAAUGGGGAAAGGACUAAACACUGUGGAAUGCCUCAGGUAAAGGAACAGGAUAAAGAAAAGCCAAGAGACAGACAAAGGAUGGACUAAGGAGGCUAUUAGCUUUAUUUAGCUAUUGUACAAGAGUGAAGUCUGUGAGAAUGCGCUGAACUAUCAAUGAGGUAUAUCAAGGGUGGCUAGGAAGUGGCCUUGCUUAAAGUUAAUGACUAAAGUUCUGGAGUCAGAUAGUCCUGGGUGCAAAUUCCAGCUCUGACUGUGACCUCAUGUGACUUAACCCAUGUAAAUUUCAGUCUCCUUAUCUGUAAAAUACCCUUCUUACUUCAUUGUUCUGAGGGAAAUAAUGUACAUAAAAGUCAUAAUAAGCCUUCUAUAAAUAGUAGCUAUUAGGCUUGGUUAACCACAAGAAAUUUUCAAAGGAGAAAAUGUGUCUCCCUCAUUGUCUCACAAUUUGGGGAAUCUUAUAUGAAACCUGUAAAGUACUUAAGUGGCUCAGAAAACAAUUAGGUAAAUUAAAUGGCCACAGAUAUAGAACAGAAUCAGUUUAUUUCCCGGGAAUGCUUAGAGGCUUGGAAAUUACACUUUCUGUGGUUAGGCAUUUCUGGUGAUGGUGCAUUUUUUUUUUGUUAACUUGAUUCUUUACUGAAUUAUAAGUAACCAGAUAACUCUUAAGCAACAGAACAGUGGUAGAAUGAAAAUUUUAAUUUUAUAAUCUCAUUUAAGCAUCCUCCUCUAAGGGUUACCUCCUUAAUUAAGUGUAGUUUUAACCUCCUACCUCCUAAGAGCAGCGAGUGCAAACAGUAGUCUCAAUGCAGCUAUAGGAAUUAACACACGGUGCAGACCCUCACUAACAUCACUUCUGACCAGAAGUUCCAGUCCUAAAGGCACCAUGUGGCUCCAACAUGCAGACCUAGCAGAGGUCACAUGAUGCUGGUAUCAGGACCCUUCCUGGACACAUGAAGAUCAGCUAUGACAACUGUCCUGCCUAUGGACCCAUUAGGGACUCUGUGACCAAGAGGGCCCUGGAAAUAACGAUCUUAGCCUGAAUGUGGAGGGACCAGUGAGAGCAUCUUGUCUCCUCAGUGCUGGUUCAUGGUCCCCUGGUAGAGAAUGAGGCACAGCAUCUCUCCUGUUCUGAUGGAGUGUGGACUGCUGCUUAGAGCUCACAUAACUGGGGCUAGGCCUGGGCAAGGAAACACCCAGGACACACGGCAUGAAGUGUAAGCUGAGACAAGGUCUGCUCAUUCCGGAAAGUGCAGGAGUAUUUGCUGGAAAGGAAAUAAUUCGGCUUAUGGUAAUGGAACAGGCAUUCAGCAGAUAAUUUUCAAAGGUAGGGUAGUAACGUUUCUGGCAACGAGUGAGUCACUGAAACACUUCCUUUCCAUUAACAGAGGUGUUACUGUGGAGCGUACUAAUUACAACAGAGCACUCUUUGUCACAGUUUGGGGCUGUUUCCUCAGCAAGUAUAAUGAAUUAGCUCCUUCUCAAUCUAUCUGCCAUCCUAAACUAUAGCUCUGAGGUGGAUUAGUGGCUUAAUAAUAACUGUCUCCAAUACUGUCUUCUACUAUGUUUAACAUUCAAAAUAGGAACGGUCAUUGAAAACUCUUGCUACUCUAAUAGACACUGCUGCAGGAGAGUUUAAGUGGGCCACUUGAUAAUGUCUAAAAUGAGUUCAUUUUCUUUGAGAGUGCUGGAAUCCCCACGGUAUAUGUGACCUCAGGUCUCCAGACACCAACAUGGAAGAGCUAUGCAGUUCCUCAGGCAAACAGAGCUGCCUGGCACCAGGCCAGCAUGUCAGUGACUCCCUAUAGGACAGCUAUUUUCAGUCUCAGCUCUGUUAAAGGUAAUUACAAUUCUGGAGGAGUAAUUAAUGUGGAAAGCUUUCUCUUUAUAAGCAAGUGCUCACAUGAGCAUGCAUAUGCUCUAAAAUACCUAAUUCCAAAUCCCAUUUAUUUAUACCUUGUCUGACAAAGCCAGGCUUUUUACCCAUCUGAGCUACUAUGUGAGCUCCAACAAAUUCCAAUUUGGCAUGUGUUAAUGUCCUACAUCCUAUGCCUUCAUUUGAAGCUUACUUUAUUUCUUAUGCCUACUGUUCAAAUUUUUGACAAAUGGGUGAGUUUGGUCAACUAAAAACUAGAACCUCUUUAGCGAUUCCCCAGCUCUGGUGGGUUCCAAUUUGAUAUUAAAAAUGAAAGCACCAGGUAGAGGCAUUCAAAGCCCAAAAUUGCUUCCCUAAUUCUUCAAUAUGUGAAACUGGGGUCAGCUAAUGUAUUGUUUUUCUAAGGUACUUAAUUAAGCAGCUACAUGCAAGAUAUAUAUAUAUAUACAACAUAAGUUUAUUACACCUCAUAUUACUGUCAUCUAAGACCAGGGUAGAAGAGUACCCUGGUAACAGUCCAAUACACCAUUUGUAUUAUUAUACUUCAAGUCACAGAUGUAGAACAACUGAUUCAAUACUAAGAUCAUUCAAUCUACCUUUAACCCUUCCUUAGUUCCCUAAGGAAGAGUUACUCUAGCAAUGAACUGAGGAAUGACUACACAAUCAUAGAGCUAAGGGAUCUUAAACCUAGAAGGAACUUCAGGGAUUUUCUGACCCAGGGUCAACAAGUAUGCAGCACACAUGCCACUAUUUCCUAAUCUUAAGCCCUUGGCAGACAUCAGUAAUCAAUUUCAGAACUUGUGUUUCUAAUUCUUUUUCAACAAAUAUGUCACACCAGACAUUUCUAGUACCUGAAAAUGGGAGCUGGAACAUGAAAAAAAUCUCUUUUCUCUUCCAGCUAACCCAAACUUCUCUUCCUUCUGAUAAGAAACAAAGAUCCAGGGAGUGUCAGAUAGGCUUUCUUACAUUGCAAUUAGCAGUCAGUCUCAUUACUUUAAGGUCUCCUUUAAGGUUUCAGUGCCUGGAUAAUAGGAAUGCCUUUGCCCUCUAGGGGUCUAUAAUCUAGUUUUGAGGAAGAAAAGUUUAACAUGCUUGGUAAGUAUAUGUAAACUAAAUGUUAAUCUGUCUUACUGAUGUAGAUCAGAGAAGGCUGAAUGAAGGAGGCAGAGAAGAAUGCACGGUGGAAUUCAAGCUUAGCUUACUAUCUCUCUGGGUCAUAAAUGACUAAACAAUUCAACAAAUGUAUUUAGCCCACUGGGUACUGUGACAGGUGUCUUGGAUUAGAUAGAGGGGCAGUAGAGAAUUCCUUCCCUCAAGAGCUCAUGGGUCAAUGGAGAAGGCAGAAAAUCAGAAUAUAUUCUUAGAAUAAUAAAUAGCAAGUAGAUACAGGUUCUGUACAGUGGGAGAGCAUGAUCUUUCUUUUCCAAGCCACUGCCUCCUAUAGGCCUCCCUCUCCUGCUAGAGAUCACCAACUCCUUCCAAGGAUCAAACCCAGCCAAGCCUCAUCAGGUUAACCUGCUGAACACAUUACACAGCUGUCUUUUCCUUUCUGCUCCCACUGCUGCUGCCCAGCUGAGGCCCCAUCUCUCUCUCUCUCUGCUUAGACCUUGACAGUAACCCCCUUGGAGUUCUGCCCACUUGCAAGAUCACCCUCCUUGGAAACAUUUUCCACAUCCAUUUGCCUUAGUGACCUUUUUUAGACACAGCUCUGUGUCACUGUCCAGCUUAAUCCUCAGAACCAUGUCCAAACUCAUCAGCAUGGCAUUAUAGCCCCUCUAGGAUCUGGGCUCUGACCUCUGUGGCAGUCUUGCUCACCUCACUCCCACUCCUAUAUCCCUCAAUCACACCCUUUGCACCAAGCCACUUAGUUAGAAGGUAGGAAGGGCACACCUUGAAGGUGGAAAGAAUAGUAGGGCACUGCAUGGACAGAGGUGUAAGGGUGAGUUUGGGCCUAGAAUGGAGAUCAGCCUGGCUGAUCAGUGUGGCAAAUCCCACAGCAGCAGUGUUCCUCCAAGGUGCACACUGCAAUUCUGAGAGUCCUGUAGAGGAGUGUUUCUGCCCCUUCUGUCUCAGGGGGAAAUAGGGGCAACUACAGCCCAAAGUGUACACUAUAGAAUCCUCAUUCCCUACCUCAAUAUGGCACACAGCCAGACCAUCAAGGUUCUCAGAAGGGUCAGCAAGGACCAAAUAUGACAAGAAGAGGAGUGAGACAGAGAAAAGCAGUUGGAAGGAGGGGAAGGGAAUGUAGAGGAAGAUCUGGCAUUGCCAGGUGUUACCUGAGUGAUCCUGAGUGAGUCUGGCACUACUCUGAGUCUGUUUCUUCAU
RNAcentral lists this long non-coding RNA (6780 nucleotides) under Sus scrofa (pig). RNAcentral describes it as "lncRNA (ENSSSCG00050055678.1)". The record is from RNAcentral. Lineage: Eukaryota; Metazoa; Chordata; Mammalia; Artiodactyla; Suidae.